RNAcentral lists this ribosomal RNA (435 nucleotides) under uncultured bacterium. RNAcentral's name for it is "partial 16S ribosomal RNA". It matches the Rfam family "Bacterial small subunit ribosomal RNA", at positions 29 to 507 of the family's 1533-position model. The record is from RNAcentral.
AGCGAACGCUGGCGGCAGGCUUAACACAUGCAAGUCGAGCGGGCACUUUCGGGUGUCAGCGGCGGACGGGUGAGUAACGCGUGGGAACGUGCCCUCUGGUUCGGAAUAACUCAGGGAAACUUGAGCUAAUACCGGAUACGCCCUUUUGGGGAAAGGCUUGCUGCCGGAGGAUCGGCCCGCGUCUGAUUAGCUAGUUGGUGAGGUAACGGCUCACCAAGGCGACGAUCAGUAGCUGGUCUGAGAGGAUGAUCAGCCACACUGGGACUGAGACACGGCCCAGACUCCUACGGGAGGCAGCAGUGGGGAAUAUUGGACAAUGGGCGCAAGCCUGAUCCAGCCAUGCCGCGUGAGUGAUGAAGGCAUUAGGGUUGUAAAGCUCUUUUAUCCGGGACGAUAAUGACGGUACCGGAGGAAUAAGCCCCGGCUAACUUCGUG